GACGAACGCUGGCGGCGUGCCUAAUACAUGCAAGUAGAACGCUGAAGAGAGGAGCUUGCUCUUCUUGGAUGAGUUGCGAACGGGUGAGUAACGCGUAGGUAACCUGCCUUGUAGCGGGGGACAACUAUUGGAAACGAUAGCUAAUACCGCAUAACAAUGGAUUACACAUGUCAUUUAUUUGAAAGGGGCAAUUGUUCCACUACAAGAUGGACCUGCGUUGUAUUAGCGAGUAGGUGAGGUAAUGGCUCACCUAGGCGACGAUACAUAGCCGACCUGGGAGGGUGAUCGGCCACACUGGGACUGAGCCACGGCCCAGACUCCUACGGGAGGCAGCAGUAGGGAAUCUUCGGCAAUGGGGGCAACCCUGACCGAGCAACGCCGCGUGAGUGAAGAAGGUUUUCGGAUCGUAAAGCUCUGUUGUAAGUCAAGAACGGGUGUGAGAGUGGAAAGUUCACACUGUGACGGUAGCUUAACAGAAAGGGACGGCUAACUACGUG
RNAcentral lists this ribosomal RNA (497 nucleotides) under uncultured bacterium. RNAcentral describes it as "partial 16S ribosomal RNA". It matches the Rfam family "Bacterial small subunit ribosomal RNA", at positions 28 to 507 of the family's 1533-position model. The record is from RNAcentral.